RNAcentral lists this ribosomal RNA (310 nucleotides) under uncultured bacterium. RNAcentral describes it as "bacterial SSU rRNA". It matches the Rfam family "Bacterial small subunit ribosomal RNA", at positions 9 to 301 of the family's 1533-position model. The record is from RNAcentral.
GAGUUUGAUCAUGGCUCAGGACGAACGCUGGCGGCGCGCCUAACACAUGCAAGUCGAACGGAGCUUAGAUUUUGAAGUUUUCGGAUGGACGAAUGUAAGCUUAGUGGCGGACGGGUGAGUAACACGUGAGCAACCUGCCUUUCAGAGGGGGAUAACAGCCGGAAACGGCUGCUAAUACCGCAUAAUGUUGCGGGGGCACAUGCCCCUGCAACCAAAGGAGCAAUCCGCUGAAAGAUGGGCUCGCGUCCGAUUAGCCAGUUGGCGGGUAACGGCCCACCAAGACUACGAUGGAUAGGGGUUCUGAGAGGAA